Molecule: unclassified non-coding RNA, 489 nt
Filed under: Melitaea cinxia (Glanville fritillary)
Lineage: Eukaryota; Metazoa; Arthropoda; Insecta; Lepidoptera; Nymphalidae
Description: misc RNA ENSMCXG00005009278.1
Source: RNAcentral
CUGAUAUUUAGCUUGAUAUUUUUCAAAAUUUUAUUUUGGGUAAACUACAUUUACCAUUUAUUAAUAUUUAUCUUCAUUUUCACCAUCGAGAAACAACGAGCACUUGAAUUGGAAAAUUUGUUAACGUUUGGUUAUCAACUAUUUCCGAAUAAGUCAGUGUGAGAAAUAUAAAAAAGAAUUCAGAAUAUCAAGAAGACCUCGUUUCUGUGAAAUUGUUCUUCUUAACUUUUUGCCAAUUUUUUUUUUUUUACUUUUUAUUAAUAUUAAUCGGCAUUUUCACCAAAAUAUUGCACACACACUUUUUUGGUGGCUGGUGAUUUCAGAAUCGGUCAGAAUCUUUAUGUGACCAUAGUUUAGCGCAACAAUUACAGCAACUACCCUAUUACCGGUUAUAAGUUCCAUUCCUGCUCAGAACAAGUGAUUGUAUACAUCGUGCAUGUGUUUGUCAUUGUUUGUUUCUCAUAAUACUUCGCGUUUACUAUCAAAUGC